UACAGAGGGGGCAAGCGUUAUUCGGAAUUAUUGGGCGUAAAGGGCGCGUAGGCGGCUUGGCAAGUGGAAGGUGAAAUCCCUCGGCUUAACCGAGGAACUGCCUUCCAGACUGCUUUGCUUGAGGCCGGGAGAGGCGAGUGGAAUUCCCAGUGUAGCGGUGAAAUGCGUAGAUAUUGGGAGGAACACCAGUGGCGAAGGCGGCUCGCUGGACCGGUUCUGACGCUGAUGCGCGAAAGCGUGGGGAGCAAAC
RNAcentral lists this ribosomal RNA (250 nucleotides) under uncultured bacterium. RNAcentral describes it as "partial 16S ribosomal RNA". It matches the Rfam family "Bacterial small subunit ribosomal RNA", at positions 524 to 773 of the family's 1533-position model. The record is from RNAcentral.